This 2930-nucleotide ribosomal RNA is filed under the name Escherichia coli. RNAcentral's name for it is "23S ribosomal RNA". It matches the Rfam family "Bacterial large subunit ribosomal RNA". The record is from RNAcentral. Lineage: Bacteria; Pseudomonadati; Pseudomonadota; Gammaproteobacteria; Enterobacterales; Enterobacteriaceae.
GGGUUGUGAGGUUAAGCGACUAAGCGUACACGGUGGAUGCCCUGGCAGUCAGAGGCGAUGAAGGACGUGCUAAUCUGCGAUAAGCGUCGGUAAGGUGAUAUGAACCGUUAUAACCGGCGAUUUCCGAAUGGGGAAACCCAGUGUGUUUCGACACACUAUCAUUAACUGAAUCCAUAGGUUAAUGAGGCGAACCGGGGGAACUGAAACAUCUAAGUACCCCGAGGAAAAGAAAUCAACCGAGAUUCCCCCAGUAGCGGCGAGCGAACGGGGAGCAGCCCAGAGCCUGAAUCAGUGUGUGUGUUAGUGGAAGCGUCUGGAAAGGCGCGCGAUACAGGGUGACAGCCCCGUACACAAAAAUGCACAUGCUGUGAGCUCGAUGAGUAGGGCGGGACACGUGGUAUCCUGUCUGAAUAUGGGGGGACCAUCCUCCAAGGCUAAAUACUCCUGACUGACCGAUAGUGAACCAGUACCGUGAGGGAAAGGCGAAAAGAACCCCGGCGAGGGGAGUGAAAAAGAACCUGAAACCGUGUACGUACAAGCAGUGGGAGCACGCUUAGGCGUGUGACUGCGUACCUUUUGUAUAAUGGGUCAGCGACUUAUAUUCUGUAGCAAGGUUAACCGAAUAGGGGAGCCGAAGGGAAACCGAGUCUUAACUGGGCGUUAAGUUGCAGGGUAUAGACCCGAAACCCGGUGAUCUAGCCAUGGGCAGGUUGAAGGUUGGGUAACACUAACUGGAGGACCGAACCGACUAAUGUUGAAAAAUUAGCGGAUGACUUGUGGCUGGGGGUGAAAGGCCAAUCAAACCGGGAGAUAGCUGGUUCUCCCCGAAAGCUAUUUAGGUAGCGCCUCGUGAAUUCAUCUCCGGGGGUAGAGCACUGUUUCGGCAAGGGGGUCAUCCCGACUUACCAACCCGAUGCAAACUGCGAAUACCGGAGAAUGUUAUCACGGGAGACACACGGCGGGUGCUAACGUCCGUCGUGAAGAGGGAAACAACCCAGACCGCCAGCUAAGGUCCCAAAGUCAUGGUUAAGUGGGAAACGAUGUGGGAAGGCCCAGACAGCCAGGAUGUUGGCUUAGAAGCAGCCAUCAUUUAAAGAAAGCGUAAUAGCUCACUGGUCGAGUCGGCCUGCGCGGAAGAUGUAACGGGGCUAAACCAUGCACCGAAGCUGCGGCAGCGACGCUUAUGCGUUGUUGGGUAGGGGAGCGUUCUGUAAGCCUGCGAAGGUGUGCUGUGAGGCAUGCUGGAGGUAUCAGAAGUGCGAAUGCUGACAUAAGUAACGAUAAAGCGGGUGAAAAGCCCGCUCGCCGGAAGACCAAGGGUUCCUGUCCAACGUUAAUCGGGGCAGGGUGAGUCGACCCCUAAGGCGAGGCCGAAAGGCGUAGUCGAUGGGAAACAGGUUAAUAUUCCUGUACUUGGUGUUACUGCGAAGGGGGGACGGAGAAGGCUAUGUUGGCCGGGCGACGGUUGUCCCGGUUUAAGCGUGUAGGCUGGUUUUCCAGGCAAAUCCGGAAAAUCAAGGCUGAGGCGUGAUGACGAGGCACUACGGUGCUGAAGCAACAAAUGCCCUGCUUCCAGGAAAAGCCUCUAAGCAUCAGGUAACAUCAAAUCGUACCCCAAACCGACACAGGUGGUCAGGUAGAGAAUACCAAGGCGCUUGAGAGAACUCGGGUGAAGGAACUAGGCAAAAUGGUGCCGUAACUUCGGGAGAAGGCACGCUGAUAUGUAGGUGAAGCGACUUGCUCGUGGAGCUGAAAUCAGUCGAAGAUACCAGCUGGCUGCAACUGUUUAUUAAAAACACAGCACUGUGCAAACACGAAAGUGGACGUAUACGGUGUGACGCCUGCCCGGUGCCGGAAGGUUAAUUGAUGGGGUCAGCGCAAGCGAAGCUCUUGAUCGAAGCCCCGGUAAACGGCGGCCGUAACUAUAACGGUCCUAAGGUAGCGAAAUUCCUUGUCGGGUAAGUUCCGACCUGCACGAAUGGCGUAAUGAUGGCCAGGCUGUCUCCACCCGAGACUCAGUGAAAUUGAACUCGCUGUGAAGAUGCAGUGUACCCGCGGCAAGACGGAAAGACCCCGUGAACCUUUACUAUAGCUUGACACUGAACAUUGAGCCUUGAUGUGUAGGAUAGGUGGGAGGCUUUGAAGUGUGGACGCCAGUCUGCAUGGAGCCGACCUUGAAAUACCACCCUUUAAUGUUUGAUGUUCUAACGUUGACCCGUAAUCCGGGUUGCGGACAGUGUCUGGUGGGUAGUUUGACUGGGGCGGUCUCCUCCUAAAGAGUAACGGAGGAGCACGAAGGUUGGCUAAUCCUGGUCGGACAUCAGGAGGUUAGUGCAAUGGCAUAAGCCAGCUUGACUGCGAGCGUGACGGCGCGAGCAGGUGCGAAAGCAGGUCAUAGUGAUCCGGUGGUUCUGAAUGGAAGGGCCAUCGCUCAACGGAUAAAAGGUACUCCGGGGAUAACAGGCUGAUACCGCCCAAGAGUUCAUAUCGACGGCGGUGUUUGGCACCUCGAUGUCGGCUCAUCACAUCCUGGGGCUGAAGUAGGUCCCAAGGGUAUGGCUGUUCGCCAUUUAAAGUGGUACGCGAGCUGGGUUUAGAACGUCGUGAGACAGUUCGGUCCCUAUCUGCCGUGGGCGCUGGAGAACUGAGGGGGGCUGCUCCUAGUACGAGAGGACCGGAGUGGACGCAUCACUGGUGUUCGGGUUGUCAUGCCAAUGGCACUGCCCGGUAGCUAAAUGCGGAAGAGAUAAGUGCUGAAAGCAUCUAAGCACGAAACUUGCCCCGAGAUGAGUUCUCCCUGACCCUUUAAGGGUCCUGAAGGAACGUUGAAGACGACGACGUUGAUAGGCCGGGUGUGUAAGCGCAGCGAUGCGUUGAGCUAACCGGUACUAAUGAACCGUGAGGCUUAACCUUACAACGCCGAAGCUGUU